UAUUUAUUUGCUUCUAAAAUAGAAAUUCCCUACUUAAUCAUCCCAUUGUGUUUUAUUUUAUCUCCUCACUCCGUUACUCUUAUUAACUCACGGCUUGAGAAGGAAAAAAAAAAAAACACCCUCACGGCUUGAUGUUCUCCUCUCUUUAAAAAUAAAAAUCCCUAACUACUCUGUUCAAACUCAUUGAUAUCGCUUUUCACCACCAAAACAGCCACUCAUCUCUUUAUUUAAGCACAAUGUUUUCUUUUUUCAAACCUAAUUGAUCAUUCUUCAACGUCUCUAGGAUUAUAUAUGGUAUGCUAUUUUUUUUCCUUCAAUUGAAUAGAAAGUCUGGAACUUUUUUUUUUUUUUUUUAUUUCAUUCACUUUUCCCUUGUUGAGUAGUAUGGACGGAGAUCAUGACAAUAAUUGAACAAUGGGGAUAAAUAUCAAAUAAAGAGCGUACAUGCCCUAUAUCCCUCUCUUUGGAUGAUAAUGGAGGCGAGGUUUCAAAGUACAGAGCUUUGCAUGUCUUAGUUGUCAUUUAUAUUGCUGCACGCCAAUUGCUUGAUAAAAUACCGCAACGAAUAUGCAUUCUUGAUUUCCUUGUAAAUUUAUUUUCCUAAUCUGAAGACACUUGAAUGUUUAGAGAAUUUUGAAAGCUUUGGUGUAUGCAUUAAUAUUUUGAUCCGAUUUAUGUUGUUUAACUAAUGAAGAUGAUGAAUAUAGCCUCUUUUUGCCCCAUUUGUUUUUAUUCUUGUGCUUCAUAUACGGUUCAAGUGUGAUAUACUUUAGUUUUUCUCAAGUGUUUGUUCCUGGCUAUGGUAAUGAAAACAAAUAAUGAGUCUAUUUUUUUUUCUGUCUUAAAACAAAUAAUGAGUCUUCAUGUUUAUAAUAAUUCUUACAAACUUCAUAUGGUUUGGCAUAAAAUUAGGUAAUUGGAGAGGCCUCAUGUUGGUUGAAAUUAUCAAUUAUAUGCAGUCCCUACAAAAUUAAGUGGAGGUAACUUUGCUACUAAAAACCUUAUUAAAGUAAUAAUGAAUUAAUCUUGUGUAAUAUAUUUUUGUAUUCCUGCACAACUUUUUAUAUUUUUAUUUACUGAGUUUUUUGCUUUUUUUUUUGCACUAUUUUCUCUUAAUUUCGUGCAAUAUUUUUUUACUAUUUCUAGGUCUUUCUAUCUUGUUUUUGGAUCACUACAGUUGCUGGUUGUGAUUUAUUGUAGCCUAUGGUUUUAGGUCUCUAUAGUUACUGAGUUUUGUUUACUGCAGCUACUUUAUUAAAGUACUUUUAGAUAUUGAAGUUUAUGGCUAACUUUUAUUAGAUGCUUCUAACUUUUGUUGAAACAUUUUCUUAACCUUUACAUUUAAGAUUUUUUUUUUUAAAGUAAUUGAAUCCUUACUAACAUUUUCUAACAAAAUCAAUUACAGAAACGAUGAGGAAAAAACAAGCAGAAUCAUUGUAAGGUGUUUUCUAUGCAUCGUCGUUGAUCAAGUCUCAUGUGCAACAUCUAAAUGAAAUGGUACUUGAAAUAAUAGAGACUUUGUUUUAUGACUCUUACAUUUACAUUUCUUUGUAAGGAAUCAUAUUUAUUUGGAUUUCAAUGUCAUGCUUUGUAUUUGAAUCGCUUAGAUUAUAAUUAAAUAUUUUAAGGUCUUUUUUCAUGUGACUACAAUUUUUUGGUCACUAGAUUUCAAUUUAUUUGACUACAAUAUGUCUUGGUGGAUUUUUUUUUUUUAAAUGAUGAUUGAGAGUAAUCACUUUAAUUUUUUGGAUACGAU
RNAcentral lists this long non-coding RNA (1756 nucleotides) under Citrus maxima (pomelo). RNAcentral describes it as "long non-coding RNA (CMAX_LNC002944)". Lineage: Eukaryota; Viridiplantae; Streptophyta; Magnoliopsida; Sapindales; Rutaceae. The record is from RNAcentral.